This 510-nucleotide ribosomal RNA is filed under the name uncultured Ascochyta. Its description in RNAcentral is "eukaryotic LSU rRNA". The stretch from base 147 to 300 matches the Rfam family "5.8S ribosomal RNA". Lineage: Eukaryota; Fungi; Ascomycota; Dothideomycetes; Pleosporales; Didymellaceae. The record is from RNAcentral.
CAUUACCGAGAGUUGCAGGCUUUUGUCUGCCAUCUCUUACCCAUGUCUUUUGCGUACUACACGUUUCCUCGGCAGGUCCGCCUGCCGUUAGGACCCCAUUAAACCAUUUGCAGUUGCAGUCAGCGUCUGAAAAACUUAAUAAUUACAACUUUUAACAACGGAUCUCUUGGUUCUGGCAUCGAUGAAGAACGCAGCGAAAUGCGAUAAGUAGUGUGAAUUGCAGAAUUCAGUGAAUCAUCGAAUCUUUGAACGCACAUUGCGCCCUAUGGUAUUCCAUAGGGCAUGCCUGUUCGAGCGUCAUUUGUACCUUCAAGCUCUGCUUGGUGUUGGGUGUUUGUCCCGCCUUUGUGCGCGGACUCGCCUUAAAGCAAUUGGCAGCCGACGUCUAGGUUUCGGAGCGCAGCACGAAUCGCGCUCUGUGUCCUGGUACGGCGGCGUCCAUCAAGACUAUUUUACACUCUUGACCUCGGAUCAGGUAGGGAUACCCGCUGAACUUAAGCAUAUCAAUAA